This 382-nucleotide ribosomal RNA is filed under the name uncultured bacterium. Its description in RNAcentral is "bacterial SSU rRNA". It matches the Rfam family "Bacterial small subunit ribosomal RNA", at positions 425 to 796 of the family's 1533-position model. The record is from RNAcentral.
GNAANCUUGCUUUUUGNCGGAACGAAAAGGCCCUGGUGAACAACCGGGGUUGCUGACGGUACCGUAAGAAUAAGCACCGGCUAACUACGUGCCAGCAGCCGCGGUAAUACGUAGGGUGCGAGCGUUAAUCGGAAUUACUGGGCGUAAAGCGUGCGCAGGCGGACAUGCAAGACAGAUGUGAAAUCCCCGGGCUCAACCUGGGAACUGCAUAUGUGACUGUAUGACUGGAGUACGGCAGAGGGGGAUGGAAUUCCGCGUGUAGCAGUGAAAUGCGUAGAUAUGCGGAGGAACACCGAUGGCGAAGGCAAUCCCCUGGGCCAGUACUUGACGCUCAUGCACCGAAAGCGNGGGGAGCAAACAGGAUUAGAUACCCUGGUAGUCC